CCUACGGGUGACAGCAGUGAGGAAUAUUGGUCAAUGGACGCAAGUCUGAACCAGCCAUGCCGCGUGCAGGAAGACGGCUCUAUGAGUUGUAAACUGCUUUUGUACGAGGGUAAAUCCCGAUACGUGUAUCGUGUUGAAAGUAUCGUACGAAUAAGGAUCGGCUAACUCCGUGCCAGCAGCCGCGGUAAUACGGAGGAUCCAAGCGUUAUCCGGAUUUAUUGGGUUUAAAGGGUGCGUAGGCGGUUCGAUAAGUUAGAGGUGAAAUCCCGGGGCUCAACUCCGGCACUGCAUCUGAUACUGUCAGGCUAGAGUUUAGUUGCGGUAGGCGGAAUGUAUGGUGUAGCGGUGAAAUGCAUAGAGAUCAUACAGAACACCGAUUGCGAAGGCAGCUUACCAAACUACGACUGACGUUGAGGCACGAAAGCGUGGGGAGCAAACAGGAUUAGAUACCCUUGUAGUC
Molecule: ribosomal RNA, 460 nt
Filed under: uncultured bacterium
Lineage: Bacteria
Description: partial 16S ribosomal RNA
Rfam family: Bacterial small subunit ribosomal RNA
Source: RNAcentral